RNAcentral lists this transfer RNA (68 nucleotides) under Sphenomorphus maculatus. RNAcentral's name for it is "tRNA-Ala". The record is from RNAcentral. Lineage: Eukaryota; Metazoa; Chordata; Lepidosauria; Squamata; Scincidae.
AAAGCUUGUAAAACUUUAAUUUACAUCUCCUAACUGCAAAUUAGGCGCUUUAAUUAAGCCAAAACCUC